Molecule: ribosomal RNA, 181 nt
Filed under: uncultured soil bacterium
Lineage: Bacteria
Description: partial 16S ribosomal RNA
Rfam family: Bacterial small subunit ribosomal RNA
Source: RNAcentral
GGCGAAAGCCUGAUCCAGCCAUGCCGCGUGUGUGAAGAAGGUCUUCGGAUUGUAAAGCACUUUAAGUUGGGAGGAAGGGCAGUAACCUAAUACGUUAUUGUUUUGACGUUACCGACAGAAUAAGCACCGGCUAACUUCGUGCCAGCAGCCGCGGUAAUACGAAGGGUGCAAGCGUUAAUCG